This 443-nucleotide ribosomal RNA is filed under the name uncultured bacterium. RNAcentral describes it as "SSU rRNA". It matches the Rfam family "Bacterial small subunit ribosomal RNA", at positions 26 to 518 of the family's 1533-position model. The record is from RNAcentral.
AGAACGAACGCUGGCGGCACGCCUAACACAUGCAAGUCGAGCGCCCAGCAAUGGGAGCGGCGGACGGGUGAGGAACACGUGGGAAUAUGCCUUUCGGUUCGGCACAACUGCGGGAAACUGCAGCUAAUUCCGGAUACGCCCUUACGGGGAAAGAUUUAUCGCCGAAAGAUUAGCCCGCGUCUGAUUAGCUAGUUGGUGAGGUAAUGGCUCACCAAGGCUUCGAUCAGUAGCUGGUUUGAGAGAACGACCAGCCACACUGGGACUGAGACACGGCCCAGACUCCUACGGGAGGCAGCAGUGGGGAAUCUUGGACAAUGGAGGAAACUCUGAUCCAGCGAUGCCGCGUGAGUGAUGAAGGCCUUCGGGUUGUAAAACUCUUUUACCAGGGAAGAUAAUGACUGUACCUGGAGAAUAAGCUCGGCUAACUUCGCGCCAGCAGCCGC